Oreochromis niloticus (Nile tilapia) is the source of this 1011-nucleotide long non-coding RNA. RefSeq lists it as uncharacterized. The transcript has 2 exons. Lineage: Eukaryota; Metazoa; Chordata; Actinopteri; Cichliformes; Cichlidae. The record is from RefSeq and is a predicted model, not a curated record.
GCGGGCCAGUCAUCCUGGUCAAAAGGAUCUUCAAUAGACACCACUAGAGGGAAGGACACAUGGGUCCAAGCAGCGCUGCGAUACAGCUGAAGUAAGUGCAUGUGGAUGACAGGCAGGAGAUGUGACAACAAAGCAACCACAAGGAGGAUGCAUCUUAGCAAAGACAGCAGAAAAUAAGGCGCCUUGUCGGGGAACGUUAGAGAUCUAAUGAUAGGGAUUAAAGGAAACAAGACAGGUAGACGGGAGCAGCCGCUGCCGGAGGGUGGAUGUGCAUUUAAAAAUAGUCUUAGAUGUAAUUAAAGAUACAGCCAGCAUGAGCAAAAUGCAGACGGGAAGCUCGCUAUGGGAGUGUUUGGACAAAAGGAAAGUUUUUCAUUGGCUGCCCCGCUUGAACGUGCCAUCUGGACAUCACAUGACCUGCAGACAUGGUGGCACGGGGAAGAUGAAGAGGGCGCAUACCUAUGAACGCGUGCAUGCAUGUGUAUGUAGACUUGCAUUGACACAAAUGAACACGUUAUUUAGCUGUCAAUACAUUUUAUGAAUAAGCAAGGGUUUAAAAAACAAAAGGAAAAAUACAGAAUCGGAAAACUCUUUAAACAACACUCCAUAAUUUAAGACAUGCAACCCCAAAACAUCAGAACAGAGGCACACUUCGCAAUUAUCUAACAAUGUUUAAUGAACUUUUUAUUUAUUACAUUAAUUAGUUAUCAGUAUACAAUUCAAUUCACCGACACACGAGUGUCUUCACAAACAUAAAAUGGAUUGUACAGCAGAUGUACUGUAUACUGUAGCACUUUAGUGCAGUGGGCAAAGACACAUGUCAAGUUUAGAGAAUGAGUGUUUAUAUAUAUUUAUACAUUAAGUGAGUGUAGUUAUACCCAUGUUUACACAGGGGCGUUUGUAAGUGUGUGUCUGUGUGUGUAAGAGUAAAGAAUUUAAACUCUAACCAUUGUGUGUGCGUGUGGGUGUGUGUGUGUAUAAUAUGUUGUUCAUGUAAAGACAGUCCAGUCA